CUUUGGCAGGCGUUUGUGUAAUACGCCAUAAGAAAAGAAAAGGAGUUGUUGUAUUUAACAGAUUAGACAACAUACAAAAAGAAAUAAGAUGAAGGAACAACAGAUUAAAUAUCAAGAGCAACCGCCACUUGAAUUCUUCACAACUGUACAACAAAUAUAAACCAAGCCUUCUCUUGGUCAUUAUGUUCAGGAAAGAAAUGCAGCAGCUAUUUCUUGCUUCAAGCUCUUCCAUUUUUGCGCGAAAUGAGGAUUUGAAAGGGAGACCAGAAGGCUUAAAGCAAGUUCGUACAAAUCAACAAGUGUUCAAAAAUCCCAAAACCUCAAGCAACCAAGCUCCACUCAAGGUAACCGAUGUGCUCUUUUACCAUUCUUUGAGAUAUGGUAUGAAUAUUUGAGAUUUAAAAUGAAGUAUUUCAGCUUAAGUGAAAUUACAACAU
RNAcentral lists this long non-coding RNA (437 nucleotides) under Nicotiana benthamiana. RNAcentral describes it as "long non-coding RNA (NBEN_LNC004203)". The record is from RNAcentral. Lineage: Eukaryota; Viridiplantae; Streptophyta; Magnoliopsida; Solanales; Solanaceae.